RNAcentral lists this ribosomal RNA (271 nucleotides) under uncultured soil bacterium. RNAcentral's name for it is "partial 16S ribosomal RNA". It matches the Rfam family "Bacterial small subunit ribosomal RNA", at positions 26 to 325 of the family's 1533-position model. The record is from RNAcentral.
AGAACGAACGCUGGCGGCAUGCCUAAUACAUGCAAGUCGAACGAACACUUCGGUGUUAGUGGCGCACGGGUGCGUAACGCGUGGGAAUCUGCCCUUGGGUUCGGAAUAACAGUUGGAAACGACUGCUAAUACCGGAUGAUAUCGAAAGAUCAAAGAUUUAUCGCCCAGGGAUGAGCCCGCGUAGGAUUAGCUAGUUGGUGAGGUAAAGGCUCACCAAGGCGACGAUCCUUAGCUGGUCUGAGAGGAUGAUCAGCCACACUGGGACUGAGAC